This 1478-nucleotide ribosomal RNA is filed under the name Salmonella enterica subsp. enterica serovar Muenchen. Its description in RNAcentral is "partial 23S ribosomal RNA". It matches the Rfam family "Bacterial large subunit ribosomal RNA", at positions 1474 to 2925 of the family's 2925-position model. Lineage: Bacteria; Pseudomonadati; Pseudomonadota; Gammaproteobacteria; Enterobacterales; Enterobacteriaceae. The record is from RNAcentral. RNAcentral also lists the same sequence under 1 other name.
GGAGAAGGCUAUGUUGGCCGGGCGACGGUUGUCCCGGUUUAAGCGUGUAGGUGUGUGUUCCAGGUAAAUCCGGUUCACUUUAACACUGAGGCGUGACGACGAGGCACUACGGUGCUGAAGCAACAAAUGCCCUGCUUCCAGGAAAAGCCUCUAAGCAUCAGGUAACAUCAAAUCGUACCCCAAACCGACACAGGUGGUCAGGUAGAGAAUACCAAGGCGCUUGAGAGAACUCGGGUGAAGGAACUAGGCAAAAUGGUGCCGUAACUUCGGGAGAAGGCACGCUGACACGUAGGUGAAGUGAUUUACUCAUGGAGCUGAAGUCAGUCGAAGAUACCAGCUGGCUGCAACUGUUUAUUAAAAACACAGCACUGUGCAAACACGAAAGUGGACGUAUACGGUGUGACGCCUGCCCGGUGCCGGAAGGUUAAUUGAUGGGGUCAGCGCAAGCGAAGCUCCUGAUCGAAGCCCCGGUAAACGGCGGCCGUAACUAUAACGGUCCUAAGGUAGCGAAAUUCCUUGUCGGGUAAGUUCCGACCUGCACGAAUGGCGUAAUGAUGGCCAGGCUGUCUCCACCCGAGACUCAGUGAAAUUGAACUCGCUGUGAAGAUGCAGUGUACCCGCGGCAAGACGGAAAGACCCCGUGAACCUUUACUAUAGCUUGACACUGAACAUUGAGCCUUGAUGUGUAGGAUAGGUGGGAGGCUUUGAAGUGUGGACGCCAGUCUGCAUGGAGCCGACCUUGAAAUACCACCCUUUAAUGUUUGAUGUUCUAACGUGGACCCGUUACCCGGGUUGCGGACAGUGUCUGGUGGGUAGUUUGACUGGGGCGGUCUCCUCCUAAAGAGUAACGGAGGAGCACGAAGGUUGGCUAAUCCUGGUCGGACAUCAGGAGGUUAGUGCAAUGGCAUAAGCCAGCUUGACUGCGAGCGUGACGGCGCGAGCAGGUGCGAAAGCAGGUCAUAGUGAUCCGGUGGUUCUGAAUGGAAGGGCCAUCGCUCAACGGAUAAAAGGUACUCCGGGGAUAACAGGCUGAUACCGCCCAAGAGUUCAUAUCGACGGCGGUGUUUGGCACCUCGAUGUCGGCUCAUCACAUCCUGGGGCUGAAGUAGGUCCCAAGGGUAUGGCUGUUCGCCAUUUAAAGUGGUACGCGAGCUGGGUUUAGAACGUCGUGAGACAGUUCGGUCCCUAUCUGCCGUGGGCGCUGGAGAACUGAGGGGGGCUGCUCCUAGUACGAGAGGACCGGAGUGGACGCAUCACUGGUGUUCGGGUUGUCAUGCCAAUGGCACUGCCCGGUAGCUAAAUGCGGAAGAGAUAAGUGCUGAAAGCAUCUAAGCACGAAACUUGCCCCGAGAUGAGUUCUCCCUGAGACUUUAGGUCUCCUGAAGGAACGUUGAAGACGACGACGUUGAUAGGCCGGGUGUGUAAGCGCAGCGAUGCGUUGAGCUAACCGGUACUAAUGAACCGUGAGGCUUAACCUU